GGAGAGCUGUCCGAGCUGGCCGAAGGAGCACGAUUGGAAAUCGUGUAUACCGUUACCGCGGUAUCGAGGGUUCGAAUCCCUCGCUCUCCGCCA
RNAcentral lists this transfer RNA (93 nucleotides) under Oceanobacillus halophilus. RNAcentral's name for it is "tRNA-Ser". It matches the Rfam family "tRNA". Rfam says of the family: Transfer RNA (tRNA) molecules are approximately 80 nucleotides in length. Their secondary structure includes four short double-helical elements and three loops (D, anti-codon, and T loops). Lineage: Bacteria; Bacillati; Bacillota; Bacilli; Caryophanales; Bacillaceae. The record is from RNAcentral.